Chelonia mydas (Green sea turtle) is the source of this 765-nucleotide long non-coding RNA. RefSeq lists it as uncharacterized. The transcript is spliced from 3 exons. Lineage: Eukaryota; Metazoa; Chordata; Testudines; Cheloniidae. The record is from RefSeq and is a predicted model, not a curated record.
AGUCAGGGCAGCUGCUUUGCUGAAGGCCAUGUUCCCUUUUGGGCUGGGAGAAGCUGAGCCCCAGGAGCAGAAAGCAGGCUAUUUUCCCUAACUCUGAAGCAUUUUGCAGCAGCUUUUCAUCACUUGCCCUUAUCGGGAGGAAGUCUCAGACUCUCUGACCUCACCACCUUUCUCUUGGGAGCUGCAGAAGAAGACUAGAAGGCUUGAGCUGCUGCCAUUGUGGCCUUGAGGGGUUCCCUCUCCACAUGCAUGGAACGCCUGAGCCAGAAAAGGGGGAGAAAGAAAAGGACUUGGGAGGACAUGUUCAGUGAGAUCCUGCAAGCCAGUGCUGCAUCAGACUGCAAACAGAGGGCCUGGAGGAUGAAUACUGUAGACAGUCUGGAGAAGGAAAAAGUGGACAGGAGAAAGGCCCAGCAGGAAAAGUAGAGGAAUAUAAAUCAGGACACAAUGUGGCUUCUCUGGCAGCAAAACGCAGAUGCUGCAGAUGUUUGUGGACCUAUAGUUUCAACAGUCCUGGGCUCACCUCCCUCUGUAGUUCACCUCCCUAACCCCACUCCCUCCACGUUCCACAUGGCAUUGGGGGGCUGCAUCUCUACCCCUCCACUCCACACUGCAGGACAUUAAGGACAACCACAGCUUCACAUUCAUCAACUGUGGCUCUCUCAGGCCAGUGUAUGUGUAACUAAAAUGGACACAAAUGUUCCUUCCCCUUCUUUAAGCUUUGUUCCAUAAAUGUAUUAAGGUUUUAAUGUAUUUGCUUUUAAC